This 1987-nucleotide ribosomal RNA is filed under the name Listeria monocytogenes. RNAcentral describes it as "partial 23S ribosomal RNA". It matches the Rfam family "Bacterial large subunit ribosomal RNA", at positions 338 to 2323 of the family's 2925-position model. The record is from RNAcentral. Lineage: Bacteria; Bacillati; Bacillota; Bacilli; Caryophanales; Listeriaceae.
CGGUCUGGAAAGGCCCGCCAAAGACGGUAACAGCCCGGUAGUUGAAAUGGCUUUCCCUCCAGAGUGGAUCCUGAGUACGGCGGAACACGUGAAAUUCCGUCGGAAUCCGGGAGGACCAUCUCCCAAGGCUAAAUACUCCCUAGUGACCGAUAGUGAACCAGUACCGUGAGGGAAAGGUGAAAAGCACCCCGGAAGGGGAGUGAAACAGUUCCUGAAACCGUGUGCCUACAAGUAGUUAGAGCCCGUUAAUGGGUGAUAGCGUGCCUUUUGUAGAAUGAACCGGCGAGUUACGAUUUGUUGCAAGGUUAAGCGGAAAAAGCGGAGCCGUAGCGAAAGCGAGUCUGAAUAGGGCGCAUAAGUAACAGGUCGUAGACCCGAAACCAGGUGAUCUACCCAUGUCCAGGAUGAAGGUAAGGUAAUACUUACUGGAGGUCCGAACCCACGCACGUUGAAAAGUGCGGGGAUGAGGUGUGGGUAGCGGAGAAAUUCCAAUCGAACUUGGAGAUAGCUGGUUCUCUCCGAAAUAGCUUUAGGGCUAGCCUCGAGGUAAAGAGUCAUGGAGGUAGAGCACUGUUUGGACUAGGGGCCCUUCUCGGGUUACCGAAUUCAGAUAAACUCCGAAUGCCAUGUACUUAUACUCGGGAGUCAGACUGCGAGUGAUAAGAUCCGUAGUCGAAAGGGAAACAGCCCAGACCACCAGUUAAGGUCCCCAAAUAUAUGUUAAGUGGAAAAGGAUGUGGGGUUGCUUAGACAACCAGGAUGUUGGCUUAGAAGCAGCCACCAUUGAAAGAGUGCGUAAUAGCUCACUGGUCGAGUGACCCCGCGCCGAAAAUGUACCGGGGCUAAACAUAUUACCGAAACUGUGGAUGAACCUCUUUAGAGGUUCGUGGUAGGAGAGCGUUCUAAGGGCGGUGAAGUCAGACCGGAAGGACUGGUGGAGCGCUUAGAAGUGAGAAUGCCGGUAUGAGUAGCGAAAGAAGGGUGAGAAUCCCUUCCACCGAAUAUCUAAGGUUUCCUGAGGAAGGCUCGUCCGCUCAGGGUUAGUCGGGACCUAAGCCGAGGCCGAUAGGCGUAGGCGAUGGACAACAGGUAGAGAUUCCUGUACCAGUGCUAAUUGUUUAACCGAUGGGGUGACACAGAAGGAUAGGGAAUCGCACGAAUGGAAAUGUGCGUCCAAGCAGUGAGUGUGAGAAGUAGGCAAAUCCGCUUCUCGCGAAGCAUGAGCUGUGAUGGGGAAGGAAAUUAAGUACGGAAGUUCCUGAUUUCACGCUGUCAAGAAAAGCCUCUAGGAAGAGUAGUACUGCCCGUACCGCAAACCGACACAGGUAGAUGAGGAGAGAAUCCUAAGGUGAGCGAGAGAACUCUCGUUAAGGAACUCGGCAAAAUGACCCCGUAACUUCGGGAGAAGGGGUGCUCUAUUAGGGUGCAAGCCCGAGAGAGCCGCAGUGAAUAGGCCCAGGCGACUGUUUAGCAAAAACACAGGUCUCUGCAAAACCGUAAGGUGACGUAUAGGGGCUGACGCCUGCCCGGUGCUGGAAGGUUAAGAGGAGUGCUUAGCUUCGGCGAAGGUACGAAUUGAAGCCCCAGUAAACGGCGGCCGUAACUAUAACGGUCCUAAGGUAGCGAAAUUCCUUGUCGGGUAAGUUCCGACCCGCACGAAAGGCGCAACGAUCUGGGCACUGUCUCAACGAGAGACUCGGUGAAAUUAUAGUACCUGUGAAGAUGCAGGUUACCCGCGACAGGACGGAAAGACCCCGUGGAGCUUUACUGCAACCUGAUAUGGAAUGUUUGUACCGCUUGUACAGGAUAGGUAGGAGCCGAAGAGACGUGUGCGCUAGCAUACGAGGAGGCAAUGGUGGGAUACUACCCUGGCUGUAUGACCAUUCUAACCCGCCACGCUUAGCGCGUGGGGAGACAGUGUCAGGUGGGCAGUUUGACUGGGGCGGUCGCCUCCUAAAGAGUAACGGAGGCGCCCAAAGGUUCCCUC